UAAGAACCCACCUUUGAGGAUGC
This 23-nucleotide non-coding RNA is filed under the name Rattus norvegicus (Norway rat). The record is from RNAcentral. Lineage: Eukaryota; Metazoa; Chordata; Mammalia; Rodentia; Muridae.